This is a long non-coding RNA of Hyla sarda, 513 nucleotides long. RefSeq lists it as uncharacterized. Lineage: Eukaryota; Metazoa; Chordata; Amphibia; Anura; Hylidae. The record is from RefSeq and is a predicted model, not a curated record. The transcript is spliced from 4 exons.
UCGCGUAGGAGCUGGAAUAAGCCGCCAUGUCCCAGGUCUACAGAGCCUGAUAUACAGCAGCAUGUAUGAUGACUUACCAAUUGGAGAAUCCCAAAAUACGACAUUAAAUAUCCGGCGGUAGCGGCAGUAAGGCCAAAGAAGUCAGUCGAGACAAUGGGAAACAUAAUCAUGAAAAGACCUGAAGGGACACAAAGGAGCAGGGAAUAGAAUUAUUUGGCUUGUAAAUGCAACAUGUGAACACAGCUUCAAGGGAGAGCACCCCAAAAAAGAAUCUUCAUUACCUAUUGGAAACCCGGAAAGAACUUUUACUAUAAAAAUCACCAUGACGCCCGGAAACCGUAAGAGCCGGACAAGUUCUCCGAAGUUAAAGACGCUGUUUUUCCCUGGAAGAUAUUAAGAGGAAUCAGAAGAAAAUGCGAUGGUGUUGGCCGCAGAAUAAUACGCCCUCUCAUGUGCAGAAGGCACCAUCAACAAUAGUGGACUGUUGCGGCUAAAUAAAGCAUCACAGCAAGU